This 59-nucleotide transfer RNA is filed under the name Pithecia albicans (white-footed saki). Its description in RNAcentral is "tRNA-Ser". RNAcentral also lists the same sequence under 5 other names. The record is from RNAcentral. Lineage: Eukaryota; Metazoa; Chordata; Mammalia; Primates; Pitheciidae.
GAGAAAGAAUGCAAGAACUGCUAAUUCAUGCCCCCACGCCUAAUAGCUUGGCUUUCUUA